GCCCACACCACUUUCCGCUCGCUAUAAAAAAAGUUCCGCACACCCCUCAGCAGCUCCAAGAACAGAGCAGUACUGCAGGAGAGCGAGUGAGCUGUCCAAAGCGUCCGGCCAAACCCGCGUGUGUCCACCACUCCUCCUGCACAAGCACCGCCACAAUGCGGCCGCACACCCUGGCGCUGCUCCUGCUCCUGCUGGCCACGCCGGCGGCGACGCGUCUGGCAUCGGCCGCCUGCGCGGGCGAGAAGUUCCCCGCGGGGCGGGCGUACGCGGCGUGCGAGGACCUCCCGAAGCUGGGCGCGUCGCUGCACUGGACGUACGACGCGGCAAAGAGCUCCCUGUCCGUGGCGUUCGUGGCGGCGCCGGCGGCGGCCGGCGGGUGGGUGGCGUGGGGGCUGAACCCGACGGGCGAGGGCAUGGCCGGCGCGCAGGCGCUGGUGGCGCUGGCGGGGUCCGGGUCCGGCUCCGCGGCGCCCACCGUGCGGACGUACAACAUCACGGGGUACGUCCCGCUGGGGAACGUCUCGACGCCGCUGGACUUCCCGGCCACCGACCUCGCCGCGGACGCCGCAGCCGGGGGCAGGAUCCGGGUGUACGGCACGCUGCAGCUGCGCGAGGGGAUGAGGGCCGUGAACCAGGUGUGGCAGGUCGGCGCGUCAUCCACCGCCGGCGCCCCCGACAAGCACGCGUUCCAGCCGGACAACCUCGGCGCCAAGAGCAAGCUCGUCCUCGCCGGCAAGUCCCCCGCGGCGGCGUCCCCGUCGCCCGCCCCCGCGCCUCAUGCGUCCGGCGGCGGCGCGGCGUCGUCCAAGUCCCCCAACGCCGCCGCGGCCGCGGCCGGCGUGGCCGCGCCGGUAGCCCUCGUGCUCGCGCUGGUGGGAUUCUUGGCGACGGUAUGAUGACGCGUCCACGGUGGCUGGAUGGGUGGGCGGUGAGCAGGGGAGGAAGUAUUAUUGCACUGUUUUCUUUAUUUUUGGUUCGUUUUUCAGGUUUGUUUUAGGCUGUGAAAUAAUAAUAAAAACGGUUGGCUGGCUGCACUUGUUGUUGAGCUGCUGUUUGGUAGGAAUAUACAGUGAUUUAUUACGGCAGUGGACGUGAUGAGCUCUCUCUCUCUCUCUCUGUUUCUGAUGAAUCUCUGAAAACGGCCUUCUGCUUGCUAUUGCAAUGAACCAAGCAAAGCACCACGAGAAAAAGAAAAACAUGGUGCUCAUUAUUGAUGGAAUGAAACUCUAACCUUAG
Molecule: unclassified non-coding RNA, 1236 nt
Filed under: Zea mays
Lineage: Eukaryota; Viridiplantae; Streptophyta; Magnoliopsida; Poales; Poaceae
Description: misc RNA Zm00001eb174910
Source: RNAcentral